UGUUAUGGUGGUUGACUAGCCUCACAAU
This 28-nucleotide non-coding RNA is filed under the name Rattus norvegicus (Norway rat). Lineage: Eukaryota; Metazoa; Chordata; Mammalia; Rodentia; Muridae. The record is from RNAcentral.